CCACUGCGCGCGGCCGGGGGAUGCUGUGUCCUUGGCUGCGGGGAGCCUGCUGGGCCAGGGGACCGAGUGGAGCCUAGCUGCCCCCGAGCCUCCUUGUGGUGUCUGCUGUGUGCGAGUGUGUACUGGAAAGCUAAUUCUGGUUCGCUCGGCCGGGCCUAAUUGGCAUUCCACAAGAUGGACACCUAGGGGGACGCGAUUGGUUUCUUCCACACACAGUCACUUCCACACACUUACACCUCCACACACUCCCUUCAGCACGUCAAGUGGUUUGGUUUAGGCGGUGGCUUUUUUUUUUUUUAAAGGUCGGGUGCCAGCUUCAGGCGAGGAAGGAGAGGCUAGGAAUCGGUGUGGUGAUUAGGGAAAGGAUGUUGUCAAAGAUGGAAAAGAGCCUGUUGUCUGAUGUAGUUGGUGGUGUUGGAAACUGCGCAAAACAGCCACAGAUGAGUGUUUCUUGACUGGGCUCCCCAGGGAGUCUAGGUGCUGCCUCAACUUAUGGCCUUUUUCUCGAGGAACUGUGAUAUGGAGUGUGUGUGUGUGUGUGUUGUAAAGGAGCUCACCGGCCAAAUGGAGAAUAGUAGCAAGGGAGGCACAUGGAGAACUGUUUAUAUGAAAACAGUCCCGGCCAUCUUAACCAUUCCAUUGUUGAAUUAAUGGUUAGCCAAGUCUUUACUUAUUUUUUAAUAUUUAUUUAUUUUGCGACAGAACCUUGUGUAUCUCUUUGGCUUUGCUGUGUAGCUGAGGAUAACCUGCUUCCACCUUGCAGUUGUGGGGCCCUAGAUCAAGUUUAUUUUAUGAUUUAUUUUAAAGUGUAGGGGAUUACAUCCCAGGCCUUACACAAGAUAGGAGUGCUUUACUUCUGAGCCAUGAGAAAGUUGAUGACCUUCAAAUUGACUGCAACAGACAUCCUUUGGGGUGACAUACAUCUGUGAUCCCAACACUGGGAAGAUGUAGGAGGCAGGAGUAUCACAAGUUCAAAAUCAUUCCUGGAUAAACAGCAAAUUUGAAGCCAGCCUGGGGCAUGAACUCUGUGUCCCUAUCAUUGAAUAUCCCUGGUUCACCACUAGGGAAAAAACAAGGUCUCCUGUAGCCUCAGCUAGCCUGAAAUUCACUCUGUAGCUGAAGAUGGUCUUGAACUCCUGAUACUCCUGCCUUGUAACAGCUUCCUGCUUGUAAUAGAGCCAGUCUUGAGAGUCACUGAACUUCUACAUCUAGCUCAAAAUAUAUAAGCCCACGGGGCUCAGUGGCUAAGAGGACUUGUUGCUCCUCCAGAGGACCAGCACUUACUUAGUGGCUCACAACAUCUGUGAUCCAGUACCAGGGGAUCCGAUGGCUUCUUCUGACCUCCAUGGGCACCAAGCAUGCAUGUGGUACCCAUACAUACAUGAAGACAAAACAGUCACACAUAAAAUAGAAUGAAUAAAUAUACAAAAUAUAUCAUCCUGGUAUAUUAUGAAAAUGAAAAAUGGUAACAACUGUUUUAGUAAAAAAGUCUGGCAGUUAGUUUCUUGUACAAGUGAACACAUACAGAUGUAGCUCAGUUCCAAUCGGUAUUUACCCAAGAGAAACAAAUACACAGGCCACAUCAAGGUCAGUCAUAGCAGCCCUAUUGAUCACAGCCCCAAAUUUGGUCUGCCCCAGUGUUCCUCUACAGGAAAUGGAAAACCAACCUAAGGUACAUUCACAUCACGACUGUCAGACUUCAGUUCUCAAACAGCAUGCUAAGUGGAAGGAACCAGAGAAAAGAGCCAUGCCACAGUGAAGUGUUGGAAUAGACAAAGUAACUCUCUUCCCUUUUUUGAGGGUCUAACUGUGUAGCUCUGGCUGUCCUAGAACUCAUUAUAUAGACCAGGUUGGCCUCAAACUUACUGAGAUCUGCCUGCCCCUGCCUCCCAAGUGCUGUGGAAUAAUCCUUUUGUGCACUGUGAAU
RNAcentral lists this long non-coding RNA (1927 nucleotides) under Cricetulus griseus (Chinese hamster). Its description in RNAcentral is "lncRNA (ENSCGRG00015043040.1)". Lineage: Eukaryota; Metazoa; Chordata; Mammalia; Rodentia; Cricetidae. The record is from RNAcentral.